RNAcentral lists this transfer RNA (67 nucleotides) under Sinibotia superciliaris (golden Chinese loach). Its description in RNAcentral is "tRNA-Cys". It matches the Rfam family "tRNA". From Rfam's summary of the family: Transfer RNA (tRNA) molecules are approximately 80 nucleotides in length. Their secondary structure includes four short double-helical elements and three loops (D, anti-codon, and T loops). Further hydrogen bonds mediate the characteristic L-shaped molecular structure. tRNAs have two regions of fundamental functional importance: the anti-codon, which is responsible for specific mRNA codon recognition, and the 3' end, to which the tRNAs corresponding amino acid is attached (by aminoacyl-tRNA synthetases). tRNAs cope with the degeneracy of the genetic code in two manners: having more than one tRNA (with a specific anti-codon) for a particular amino acid; and 'wobble' base-pairing, i.e. permitting non-standard base-pairing at the 3rd anti-codon position. Lineage: Eukaryota; Metazoa; Chordata; Actinopteri; Cypriniformes; Botiidae. The record is from RNAcentral.
AGCCUUGUGGUGGAGUACACAUCGGAUUGCAAAUCUGAAGACGCAGAUUAAACCUCUGCCGGGGCUU